This 395-nucleotide ribosomal RNA is filed under the name uncultured bacterium. RNAcentral's name for it is "partial 16S ribosomal RNA". It matches the Rfam family "Bacterial small subunit ribosomal RNA", at positions 338 to 730 of the family's 1533-position model. The record is from RNAcentral.
CCUACGGGUGGCAGCAGUGAGGAAUAUUGGUCAAUGGACGAGAGUCUGAACCAGCCAAGCCGCGUGAAGGAUGACUGUCCUAUGGGUUGUAAACUUCUUUUAUAAAGGAAUAAAACGAGGCACGUGUGCCCUUUUGCAUGUACUUUAUGAAAAAGGAUCGGCUAACUCCGUGCCAGCAGCCGCGGUAAUACGGAGGAUCCGAGCGUUAUCCGGAUUUAUUGGGUUUAAAGGGAGCGUAGACGGGUUGUUAAGUCAGCUGUGAAAGGUCGCGGCUCAACCGUAAAAUUGCAGUUGAUACUGGCAGUCUUGAGUAGGGUUGAGGUAUGCGGAAUGCGUGGUGUAGCGGUGAAAUGCUUAGAUAUCGCGAAGAACCCCGAUUGCGAAGGCAGCAUGCU